UACGUAGGGUGCAAGCGUUAUCCGGAAUUAUUGGGCGUAAAGAGCUCGUAGGCGGUUUGUCGCGUCUGCUGUGAAAACGCGAGGCUCAACCUCGCGCCUGCAGUGGGUACGGGCAGACUAGAGUGCGGUAGGGGAGAUUGGAAUUCCUGGUGUAGCGGUGGAAUGCGCAGAUAUCAGGAGGAACACCGGUGGCGAAGGCGGGUCUCUGGGCCGUAACUGACGCUGAGGAGCGAAAGCGUGGGGAGCGAACAGG
This 253-nucleotide ribosomal RNA is filed under the name uncultured bacterium. RNAcentral describes it as "partial 16S ribosomal RNA". It matches the Rfam family "Bacterial small subunit ribosomal RNA", at positions 524 to 776 of the family's 1533-position model. The record is from RNAcentral.